GAUGAACGCUGGCGGCGUGCUUAACACAUGCAAGUCGAACGGAAAGGCCAGUGCUUGCCCUGGUACUCGAGUGGCGAACGGGUGAGUAACACGUGGGUGAUCUGCCCUGCACUUCGGGAUAAGCCUGGGGAACUGGGUCUAAUACCGGAUAGGACAAUGGUUUGGAUGCCGUUGUGGAAAGUUUUUUCGGUGUGGGAUGAGCUCGCGGCCUAUCAGCUUGUUGGUGGGGUAAUGGCCUACCAAGGCGUCGACGGGUAGCCGGCCUGAGAGGGUGUACGGCCACAUUGGGACUGAGAUACGGCCCAGACUCCUACGGGAGGCAGCAGUGGGGAAUAUUGCACAAUGGGCGCAAGCCUGAUGCAGCGACGCCGCGUGGGGGAUGACGGCCUUCGGGUUGUAAACUCCUUUCGCUAGGGACGAAGCGUAUUUGUGACGGUACCUGGAGAAGAAGCACCGGCUAACUACGUG
RNAcentral lists this ribosomal RNA (468 nucleotides) under uncultured bacterium. RNAcentral describes it as "partial 16S ribosomal RNA". It matches the Rfam family "Bacterial small subunit ribosomal RNA", at positions 28 to 507 of the family's 1533-position model. The record is from RNAcentral.